GAAGGUAUAGCUUAGUGGUAGAGUGCAUGCUUAGCAUGUACAAGGUCCUUGGUUCAAUCCCCAGUACUUCCA
This 72-nucleotide transfer RNA is filed under the name Camelus bactrianus (Bactrian camel). It matches the Rfam family "tRNA". Rfam says of the family: Transfer RNA (tRNA) molecules are approximately 80 nucleotides in length. Their secondary structure includes four short double-helical elements and three loops (D, anti-codon, and T loops). The record is from Rfam by way of RNAcentral. Lineage: Eukaryota; Metazoa; Chordata; Mammalia; Artiodactyla; Camelidae. RNAcentral also lists the same sequence under 2 other names.